GACGAACGCUGGCGGCGUGCCUAAUACAUGCAAGUUGAGCGCAGAAGGCUGGUACUUGUACCAACUUGAUGAUCAGCGAACGGGUGAGUAACGCGUGGCGAAUCUGCCAUUGGGCGGGGGACAACAUUUGAAAACGAAUGCUAAUACCUCAUAAAAACUUGAACAGCAAGUUUUAAGCUUGAAAGAUGAAAUUGCAUCUCUCAAUGAUGAUCCCGCGUUGUAUUUGUCAGUUGGUUAGGGAAAGGCUCACCAAGGCGAUGAUACAUCGCCGACCUGAGAGGGGGAUGGGCCACAUUGGACCUGGGACACGGCCCAAGCCCCUACGGGAGGCAGCAGGAGGGAGUCUUCGGCAAUAGACGAAAGGCGGAACGCUCAACGCGGCGUGAGUGGAGAAGGUUUUCGGAUCGUAAGACGUUGUUUGUAUAGGAGAGCGAUGGAGAGAGUUGAUAGCUCAUGAAGUGACGGUAGCUACCCAGAAAGCGACGGCUAACUACGUG
This 497-nucleotide ribosomal RNA is filed under the name uncultured bacterium. RNAcentral's name for it is "partial 16S ribosomal RNA". It matches the Rfam family "Bacterial small subunit ribosomal RNA", at positions 28 to 507 of the family's 1533-position model. The record is from RNAcentral.